CAGUGCGUUGGUUGCUGUUAAGCCAGGGGCGGUAGCGUU
This 39-nucleotide non-coding RNA is filed under the name Escherichia coli. RNAcentral describes it as "JUMPstart". It matches the Rfam family "JUMPstart RNA". Lineage: Bacteria; Pseudomonadati; Pseudomonadota; Gammaproteobacteria; Enterobacterales; Enterobacteriaceae. The record is from RNAcentral.